GGGGAUUUAGCUCAGUGGUAGAGCGCUUGCCUAGCAAGCGCAAGGCCCUGGGUUCGGUCCUCAGCCCCG
Non-coding RNA from Rattus norvegicus (Norway rat), 69 nucleotides. NCBI's taxonomy places the organism in Eukaryota, Metazoa, Chordata, Mammalia, Rodentia, Muridae. The record is from Rfam.